RNAcentral lists this ribosomal RNA (748 nucleotides) under uncultured Streptococcus sp. Its description in RNAcentral is "bacterial SSU rRNA". It matches the Rfam family "Bacterial small subunit ribosomal RNA", at positions 50 to 766 of the family's 1533-position model. The record is from RNAcentral. Lineage: Bacteria; Bacillati; Bacillota; Bacilli; Lactobacillales; Streptococcaceae.
UAUACAUGCAGUAGACGCUGAGGUUUGGUGUUUACACUAGACUGAUGAGUUGCGAAGGGGGAGGAACGCGUAGGUAACCUGCCUCAUAGCGGGGGAUAAAAAUUGGAAACGAUAGCUAAUACCGCAUAAGAGUAAUUAACACAUGUUAGUUAUUUAAAAGGAGCAAUUGCUUCUCUCCGAGAUGGACCUGCGUUGUAUUAGCUAGUUGGUGAGGUAAAGGCUCACCAAGGCGACGAUACAUAGCCGACCUGAGAGGGUGAUCGGCCACACUGGGACUGAGACACGGCCCAGACUCCUACGGGAGGCAGCAGUAGGGAAUCUUCGGCAAUGGACGGAAGUCUGACCGAGCAACGCCGCGUGAGUGAAGAAGGUUUUCGGAUCGUAAAGCUCUGUUGUUAGAGAAGAACGUUGGUAGGAUUGGAAAAUCUACCAAGUGACGGUAACUAACCAGAAAGGGACGGCUAACUACGUGCCAGCAGCCGCGGUAAUACGUAGGUCCCGAGCGUUGUCCGGAUUUAUUGGGCGUAAAGCGAGCGCAGGCGGUUCUUUAAGUCUGAAAGUUAAAGGCAGUGGCUUAACCCAUUGUACGCCUUGGAAACUGGAAGGACUUUGAGUGCAGAAAGGGGAGAAGUGGAAAUUCCAUUGUGUAGCGGGUGAAAUGCGUUAGAUAUUUUGGGAAGGAACCCCGGGUGGGCGAAGCCGGGUUCUCUGGUCUGUAACUGGACGCUGAAGGCUCGAAAGCGUGGGG